UAAGGAAUUGAGGAACAAUGAAGAUCAAAUGUCUACCUCAAACCCUGCUUUUACAAAAGCAGAAUAAAGUGAAAUGAAACGAAAAUGA
Molecule: unclassified non-coding RNA, 88 nt
Organism: Fukomys damarensis (Damara mole-rat)
Lineage: Eukaryota; Metazoa; Chordata; Mammalia; Rodentia; Bathyergidae
Source: Ensembl